GGGGGAGCGCCCUGCGGCCUCGGCUCCGCUCCGGUUCGCCUGGCCGCGCGCGGGCUUCUGGGAGGUGUAGUCCGGCCUUGUCCGCGCAGGCGCACCGCGGCCUGGAGGGCCUAGCGGGUGGGUCAUUGUCCUGGCACGUUUCGCAGUUUUCAGUGGCCCCCUGGACUGGUGUGAGCAGAAGCUGUGUGCUGUGAACAGGGAGGCGCAGACCAAAUGGCCGGCCAGCUCUGUUGGUCCCGCAGGACGGUCCUCUUCCCCUGAUGAUCGUGUCCCGGUGGAGAGAUGGCUGCUCAGCUGCCGACCGACGUACCGCUGGUCGUCCAGCUGCGCUGAAGGCAUGAUCCAGAUUUCCACAGCCACUCUGGAAGCUUCUCUGGAAGAGGCAGAGCAAAUGCAGCUGGGCAGCCCACGAUGGAGCCGGGAUCCUGCCUGGGAGAAGAGGGCUUCUGCAGGGACUCCGUGUACUGCCAUCUCCAAGUCCUGUUCCCUGGGGAGCUCACAGGUCCUGGGGUGAGUCUGGGGAGGGGAGGAGGUGUGCCUCAUGAGGCAUGUGCCCCGUGGGUAGGACUAGGGCAGGCGCCAGAGCUCCCCGUCUCUGGCUUGAGUCAGGCUGCCACCCUGCCUUCCACGUAAUGUGGCUCCGUGGACACCAGCGGGCUGCGUGGUGUGUGCCGAGCAUUGGCAGUUAGGCUGAGAAGGCCUUUCCUUCCCGCUUCUGGGGGCUCAGGGGCUUCAUUUCUUCCAAUCUUUUCAAAAUCACGAUUUUACUUCUCGAGAGUUAAGUAAACACAGUUUCCUUGUCGAAGGUCAAGGGCAUCAGCGGGUGGGAUCUGCUGCCGCCCACCCUUCAGCAGCCGCCUGCUGUCCAGGUGAGGGUGCUGCUGGGGUUGGCUGCAGGUGGGGAGUGACUGGGUUUGACGACUGUUCUUGACGCCGUUCCUUGCCCGAGGAAGAGUGUGGUGUGUACAGUGUGGGAACGAGGCGUCUCGGCCUUCCUGCCCUAGUGGGCCUGGGGAACGUCGCCCAUCUCGUGUGACAGUGCCAGAUGUGUCAGCUGAUGUCGGUGAGUAGUGAUGAUUAAAUGCCACAUUUCCUUAAUGCUACUGUGGCUUUCUUUUUUUUAAUUUUAGCAUUUCUCACAUUGAAAUAUGUCUGACAGUUAUCCAUCUACUUGGAUUCUCUUUUUUUAAGAUUUAAACAACUUGGGCUGGGG
Molecule: long non-coding RNA, 1213 nt
Filed under: Urocitellus parryii (Arctic ground squirrel)
Lineage: Eukaryota; Metazoa; Chordata; Mammalia; Rodentia; Sciuridae
Description: lncRNA (ENSUPAG00010003175.1)
Source: RNAcentral